Long non-coding RNA from Neopsephotus bourkii (Bourke's parrot), 467 nucleotides. RefSeq lists it as uncharacterized. The transcript is spliced from 2 exons. NCBI's taxonomy places the organism in Eukaryota, Metazoa, Chordata, Aves, Psittaciformes, Psittacidae. The record is from RefSeq and is a predicted model, not a curated record.
CUCCACACCUCUGUGUCCAAAUCUCAGACCAGGGCAAGGCUGCCUCCAGGACUCUUCUACAGACACACCAUUGUGAGGCCAGAUUUUGCCCAGCUGCUACAUGGGUACACAAAGAGCUGAGAAAGCUGCAGGGAGCCUCUUCCUUGUGUGUUCCUGGACAGCGGCCAACCUGCCAUCAAAGGUUGCUCAUUCCUUGGAAAAGCACAGGGCUCGCUCCAUCCCCCAGCAAUGCCACAACUGAAAGGUGUCCAAAGCGAGAUGGGAAGGGUAUUUCCUGUGGCCCUGUUUGUGGGACAGGCUGUACAAGAUGGGCUGGAGAGGGAAAUCUGCAUUGACAGAGAAGAUAAGCAAUGCCUGAAUGGGAGGGUGCAGAAAAGGAUCUCUCGGGGACAAGAUGUAAGGCAUGAUAGAGCUUUUAAUGGGUGAGCUGUCAUCACGUUUCUAGUAAACUUUAGCAGUGUGUUUCA